GCCACGUGAUGAUACAAAGGCGAGUGUGACCUCACGGUGUCGAGGCCCAGGGGAGCUGCCCGAACCCCGAGGGUCCGUAAUCUUGGUGGGAACGUCCAAGACCUGCGUGCUCGCUGUAAGGGCGGACCAACAGCAAGAUCCCGCGCCCAGCGACCGGAGAACGGCGGCCGGCAUUGAAGAGCGUGUCACCCCGGCAACGCUCGGGAGCAGGGCGCGGACACGGGGUGGGGGGAGGCGUGCCGGAGUUCGGGCAGAACCCCCCUGUCAACCUGCCGGAGAGGGUGAUCGCACAUCUUUGGUAAUCUGAUGGCC
Molecule: small nucleolar RNA, 312 nt
Organism: Mobula hypostoma (lesser devil ray)
Lineage: Eukaryota; Metazoa; Chordata; Chondrichthyes; Myliobatiformes; Myliobatidae
Source: RefSeq, a predicted model, not a curated record